CGUGACUCACACGCGCAGCACAAAUAUCCUCUCUAAACCCUAACGCAAAACGGCGUCGGUUGCUGAAGUCUCGUUUCAUCUCGUCAUCGGCGGUUGCUCUUCGCAGCUCUUCUUUUGCUACAAUGGUGUCGUCCGGCAAGAAGACGAAAAAGACUCAUGAGAGCAUAAAUUAACAACCGGUUGGCGCUUGUGAUGAAGAGUGGAAAGUACACUCUUGGUUACAAGACUGUUCUCAAAACGAUCAGGAGCUCCAAAGGUUUGAAUUUUCUGUUUCAGAUUUUCUUAUAUUGCUUACUAUUACUAGUUUCAUAGAUUUUACAAUUUGAAUGUGUAUGUGAAAAUCGAAAUGUUGGUAAAUUGAUUUUGAUAUCCAACAAUUGCCCGCCUCUGAGGAAGUCGGAGAUUGAGUAUUACGCCAUGCUUGCUAAAGUUGGUGUCCACCAUUACAAUGGGAAACACAAGAGUGCAUAGUUUUGCUAGCGAAGAACUAAUCACUUGACACGGUCGCUAAAGUGUGGACUUGAUAGAGGGGAUACGCUUGGAUCCCUGCGAGCAACCGAUUGCUUCUAAUCCCGACAUCAACCGGAGUGCGAAAAGGUAUGAGAUUCUUUUCUCGCUCUCUCAUCAUGUUAACGUGAAGUCGUCAAUACCGUUGGAAUGAAAUAAUAGUUAUUUCAUUUAUAAUUUUGAAAAAAAUUAUUUCCGCUGCGUUUUUCGACCCAAUCCCAACAGUGGUAUUAUCUUAUUUGUUAAUGUAUAAUUUGGUAACUAUGGAUCAUUGAGUUUCAUGUUCGACUUAAUUAUGAAUAUCUAUGUCGAUAUUACUCAUUGGUUGACGUUGUAGCUUUAUUGAAGUAUCUUGCCCGCGCUGAGGAGUCUUGAUUCUUUUUCUUCUUUGUUUUAUCUGCUUAAAUUUGUCAACUUUUUGUAUGUUGGAAUCUGUUUGUUGUCUUAGUUCAGCAUGAAGUUGCAGUGCAAGCUCAUGAAGUGUCUCGUUAUAGUUCAAGAAAAUGGCAUUAGGGAAAGUGGAUGACGCGUUCAACUCCCUUAUCAAAUGGCUGAGCUGUUUAUUAUCUAUCCCAUUCACAACAUUACUUACCUUGUCACCCUAGAUGUGACUAGGAAUAGUUGUAAUGAUUUCACUGGAUUCAGUUUCUAUGAAGGUUGUUUCUCUGAUUAA
This is a long non-coding RNA of Salvia miltiorrhiza (redroot sage), 1180 nucleotides long. RefSeq lists it as uncharacterized. The transcript has 3 exons. The record is from RefSeq and is a predicted model, not a curated record. Lineage: Eukaryota; Viridiplantae; Streptophyta; Magnoliopsida; Lamiales; Lamiaceae.